CUGGAACUGAGACACGGUCCAGACACCUACGGGUGGCAGCAGUCGAGAAUCAUUCACAAUGGGGGAAACCCUGAUGGUGCGACGCCGCGUGGGGGAAUGAAGGUCUUCGGAUUGUAAACCCCUGUCAUGUGGGAGCAAAUUAAAAAGAUAGUACCACAAGAGGAAGAGACGGCUAACUCUGUGCCAGCAGCCGCGGUAAUACAGAGGUCUCAAGCGUUGUUCGGAAUCACUGGGCGUAAAGCGUGCGUAGGCUGUUUCGUAAGUCGUGUGUGAAAGGCGCGGGCUCAACCCGCGGACGGCACAUGAUACUGCGAGACUAGAGUAAUGGAGGGGGAACCGGAAUUCUCGGUGUAGCAGUGAAAUGCGUAGAUAUCGAGAGGAACACUCGUGGCGAAGGCGGGUUCCUGGACAUUAACUGACGCUGAGGCACGAAGGCCAGGGGAGCGAAAGGGAUUAGAUACCCCUGUAGUCCUGGCAGUAAACGGUGCACGCUUGGUGUGCGGGGAAUCGACCCCCUGCGUGCCGGAGCUAACGCGUUAAGCGUGCCGCCUGGGGAGUACGGUCGCAAGAUUAAAACUCAAAGAAAUUGACGGGGACCCGCACAAGCGGUGGAGUAUGUGGCUUAAUUCGAUGCAACGCGAAGAACCUUACCUGGGCUUGACAUGUAAUGAACAACAUGUGAAAGCAUGCGACUCUUCGGAGGCGUUACACAGGUGCUGCAUGGCCGUCGUCAGCUCGUGUCGUGAGAUGUUUGGUUAAGUCCAGCAACGAGCGCAACCCCUGUUGCCAGUUACCAGCACGUGAAGGUGGGGACUCUGGCGAGACUGCCCAGAUCAACUGGGAGGAAGGUGGGGACGACGUCAGGUCAGUAUGGCCCUUAUGCCCAGGGCUGCACACGUACUACAAUGCCCAGUACAGAGGGGGCCGAAGCCGCGAGGCGGAGGAAAUCCUGAAAACUGGGCCCAGUUCGGACUGUAGGCUGCAACCCGCCUACACGAAGCCGGAAUCGCUAGUAAUGGCGCAUCAGCUACGGCGCCGUGAAUACGUUCCCGGGUCUUGUACACACCGCCCGUCACAUCAUGGAAGCCGGUCGCACCCGAAGUAUCUGAAGCCAACCGCAAGGAGGCAGGGUCCUAAGGUGAGACUGGUAACUGGGAUGAAGUCGUAACAAGGUAGCCGUAGGGGAACCUGCGGCUG
RNAcentral lists this ribosomal RNA (1197 nucleotides) under human gut metagenome. RNAcentral's name for it is "bacterial SSU rRNA". It matches the Rfam family "Bacterial small subunit ribosomal RNA", at positions 313 to 1520 of the family's 1533-position model. The record is from RNAcentral.